Molecule: small nuclear RNA, 324 nt
Filed under: Octodon degus (degu)
Lineage: Eukaryota; Metazoa; Chordata; Mammalia; Rodentia; Octodontidae
Description: 7SK RNA (ENSODEG00000023686.1)
Rfam family: 7SK RNA
About the family: 7SK was discovered as an abundant small nuclear RNA in the mid-70s but a possible function has only recently been suggested. Two independent studies have found that 7SK RNA binds the CDK9/cyclin T complex (known as elongation factor P-TEFb).
Source: RNAcentral
GAUAUGAGGGUGAUCUGGCUGCGACAUCUGUCACCCCAUUGGUCACCAGGGUUGAUUCGGCUCAUUUGGCUGUCUAGGUGGGUGUCCUCUUCCUCCCUCAACCAUUCACGUGGGUCUCUCCCAAAGCUAUGCACUUGGUUGAAGAGGAUGACCACCCCCGAUAGAGGAGGACUGUUCCUUGGUCAAGGAUAGAUGAGUAGCUGUGUUACCCUGCUAGAACCUCCAAACAAGCUCUCAAGGUUAAUUUGCCUACUGUUUGAAAUUCUGGAAAUUUUAGAUUUUCACCAUUAAGGACAAUACGCAACUACAAUAUUUUCCCUCAAU